UUAAUCUUGUUCAUGAGGAAACAAAUUUAAAAAGUUGUGAUUUCAUCACUUUUUCAAGAGUAUAAUAGUUAUGAUUUGUAAUGAGGGUUUCCUUUAAAGGAGCCUUUUUUUGGCAAUUGCCAAGUUUUUACUUUCUACCGUUCUUUGA
Molecule: long non-coding RNA, 148 nt
Organism: Rhodamnia argentea
Lineage: Eukaryota; Viridiplantae; Streptophyta; Magnoliopsida; Myrtales; Myrtaceae
Exons: 3
Source: RefSeq, a predicted model, not a curated record